CAGAUAUUAGUUUAUUUAAAAUUUUAAUUUUGGAGAUUAAAGAUAAUUUAUUAUUAUAUCUGA
Molecule: transfer RNA, 63 nt
Filed under: Hoplosaenidea subcostata
Lineage: Eukaryota; Metazoa; Arthropoda; Insecta; Coleoptera; Chrysomelidae
Description: tRNA-Pro
Source: RNAcentral